Molecule: ribosomal RNA, 520 nt
Filed under: Septorioides pini-thunbergii
Lineage: Eukaryota; Fungi; Ascomycota; Dothideomycetes; Botryosphaeriales; Septorioideaceae
Description: SSU rRNA
Rfam family: Bacterial small subunit ribosomal RNA
Source: RNAcentral
ACUUGGGGGAAUGUUUAUAUCCGUUAUAUUAUAUAUAACCGAUAUAGUACCGACUCUGUUGGAUAAAGUUCUAGGUAGAAGAAUGAUCAUGACAACUUUCUAUCUAUAUGUCUUGACCAAAUCUUGUGCCAGCAGUCGCGGCAACACAAGGGAGACUAGUGUUAUUCAUCUUUAUUAGGUUUAAAGGGUACCUAGACGGUAUAUCAAGCCCCAAAAGGGUACGGAUUUACUAGAGUUUUAUGUGAGAGGAAAAUAUAGUACUGUUGAAGUAGAGAUAAAAUGUGAUUAUAUCAUCAGGACGGAUAACGGCGAAGGCAAGCCUCUAUGUAAAAACUGACGUUGAGGGACGAAGGCUUGGGUAGCGAAUAGGAUUAGAUACCCUAGUAGUCCAGGCAGAAAAUUAUGAAUGUCAUAGAUUAGAGGCAUAAGUUAGUACACGCUUGCUAAUACUUUGAUCUAUAAAUGAAAGUGUAAGCAUUCCACCUCAAGAGUAAUGUGGCAACACAGGAACUGAAAUCAU